Molecule: ribosomal RNA, 253 nt
Filed under: uncultured bacterium
Lineage: Bacteria
Description: partial 16S ribosomal RNA
Rfam family: Bacterial small subunit ribosomal RNA
Source: RNAcentral
UACGGGGGGGGCAAGCGUUAUUCGGAAUUAUUGGGCGUAAAGGGCGCGUAGGCGGCUUGGCAAGUGGAAGGUGAAAUCCCUCGGCUUAACCGAGGAACUGCCCUCCAAACUGCUUCGCUUGAGACCGGGAGAGGUGAGUGGAAUUCCCAGUGUAGCGGUGAAAUGCGUAGAUAUUGGGAGGAACACCAGUGGCGAAGGCGGCUCACUGGACCGGUACUGACGCUGAUGCGCGAAAGCGUGGGGAGCAAACGGG